RNAcentral lists this ribosomal RNA (405 nucleotides) under uncultured bacterium. RNAcentral describes it as "bacterial SSU rRNA". It matches the Rfam family "Bacterial small subunit ribosomal RNA", at positions 370 to 772 of the family's 1533-position model. The record is from RNAcentral.
AAUGGGCGCAAGCCUGAACCAGCCAUCCCGCGUGAAGGAUGAAGGCCUUAUGGGUUGUAAACUUCUUUUGUACCUGAAGAAACCCUUCUACGUGUAGGAGGUUGCCGGUAAGGUACGAAUAAGCAUCGGCUAACUCCGUGCCAGCAGCCGCGGUAAUACGGAGGAUGCAAGCGUUAUCCGGAUUUAUUGGGUUUAAAGGGUGCGCAGGUGGUUGAAUAAGUCAGUGGUGAAAGUCUGCCGCUUAACGGUAGGAUUGCCAUUGAUACUGUUUAACUUGAGUUUGGAUGAGGUAGGCGGAAUGUGUAGUGUAGCGGUGAAAUGCAUAGAUAUUACACAGAACACCGAUUGCGAAGGCAGCUUACUAAUCCACUACUGACACUGAGGCACGAAAGCGUGGGGAUCAAA